AUUGAACGCUGGCGGCAUGCCUUACACAUGCAAGUCGAACGCGAAAGCGGGGCAACCCGCAAGUAGAGUGGCGAACGGGUGAGUAAUGCAUCGGAACAUUUCCAGUAGCGGGGGAUAACCUGUCGAAAGAUAGGCUAAUACCGCAUACGCCCCACGGGGGAAAGCGGAGGACCGCAAGGCUUCGCACUAUUGGAGUGGCCGAUGCCGGAUUAGCUAGUUGGCGGGGUAAAAGCCCACCAAGGCUACGAUCCGUAGCUGGUCUGAGAGGACGAUCAGCCACACUGGAACUGAGACACGGUCCAGACUCCUACGGGAGGCAGCAGUGGGGAAUUUUGGACAAUGGGCGCAAGCCUGAUCCAGCCAUGCCGCGUGAGUGAAGAAGGCCUUCGGGUUGUAAAGCUCUUUCGGUGGGGACGAAAUGGUUCGUGCUAAUACCACGGACUGAUGACGGUACCCGAAGAAGAAGCACCGGCUAACUACGUGCCAGCCGCCGCGGUAA
This 499-nucleotide ribosomal RNA is filed under the name uncultured bacterium. RNAcentral's name for it is "partial 16S ribosomal RNA". It matches the Rfam family "Bacterial small subunit ribosomal RNA", at positions 29 to 523 of the family's 1533-position model. The record is from RNAcentral.